AUAAAUCCCUUUUCUAUUGUGACUUUAAUUGAAAAAACUCCCAUUUAUGCCCCUUCACGGGGUGUAAGAAAAAGGAGGUGUGAUAGUUGUGGCGACUCUACUGGGGACAAGAACCCAGAAUCUCCGGUUCAAGGUUCAAGAAUUCGAGCUUAGAAUAAUUGUUAUGGUGGGCUUUAUUUAUUAUCUAGUUUCAUUUACUUGCUUGGGCCUAACGUGCUAAAUAUUACUUUUUACCGCUUUGAUAUGGUUGAACUGUAUAUAAAUUGUUGCGAAACCCUCCUCUCUCUGAGUUUUCUAAGUCAUCUUGGAAGUGUGCACUUCGUGUAACUUCUUUUCUGUUAGAGUCUUAUCUCAAAGUUUAGAACGAGGUUCGGACAAGUUGCAAAGCCGCUGAAGCUUAUAUAUUCUCGGUACGCUUCA
RNAcentral lists this long non-coding RNA (420 nucleotides) under Nicotiana benthamiana. RNAcentral describes it as "long non-coding RNA (NBEN_LNC018920)". The record is from RNAcentral. Lineage: Eukaryota; Viridiplantae; Streptophyta; Magnoliopsida; Solanales; Solanaceae.